AAUAUUAAUCUGUACUAAUAGAAAAGAAAAUCAGCUAAGUUGAUUUCAAACUAUUGGAUUUUAUUAUAAUUUGAUAAAAAAAAUUUCAGUAGGCGUGAUUAAAACCAUAUUGGUUCACCAGUUCAAUAGUUGAAUUGUUGGUUUGAACAAUUCAAAAUAAUUUUUUGACUUAUCUGAUUCAAAUGGUUGAACUAAAUUGCUUUAUAUAUUGGAUCACGAUCGUAUAGG
This 228-nucleotide long non-coding RNA is filed under the name Ananas comosus (pineapple). RNAcentral's name for it is "long non-coding RNA (ACOM_LNC027801)". The record is from RNAcentral. Lineage: Eukaryota; Viridiplantae; Streptophyta; Magnoliopsida; Poales; Bromeliaceae.